UUGGAGAAUAGAACCAACAAAAAAUUUAAGGCAAAAGAGAGUAGAGAAGCAUGCAAGAGAGAGUGAAAGCAACGUCUAACUUUUCAAAAUUUUACAGUGGUUUCCAAAAAGAGAGACCUAUUGAAGCUAUGAAGGUUCACGAGAUUCUGUUAUUGGCAUGUCGUAAAAACAGAUAAAAUGCAGCAAUCACUCCAAAAUAAUGCCAUAAGGGCCCAUGCAAAAAAUAAGAUGUAACCAAUGUACACAGAAACCACUUUCAAGCACAUCACAUGUCCAC
RNAcentral lists this long non-coding RNA (277 nucleotides) under Vigna radiata. Its description in RNAcentral is "long non-coding RNA (VRAD_LNC009523)". Lineage: Eukaryota; Viridiplantae; Streptophyta; Magnoliopsida; Fabales; Fabaceae. The record is from RNAcentral.